This 347-nucleotide unclassified non-coding RNA is filed under the name fungal sp. RNAcentral's name for it is "partial internal transcribed spacer region". The stretch from base 1 to 46 matches the Rfam family "Eukaryotic small subunit ribosomal RNA", at positions 1786 to 1831 of the family's 1831-position model. Lineage: Eukaryota; Fungi. The record is from RNAcentral.
AAGUCGUAACAAGGUUUCCGUAGGUGAACCUGCGGAAGGAUCAUUAACACGUAUCCAACGUUAAACAACCCUGUGAAACCCCGCCGGAAUGAGAUUAAUUUCCAACUCCGGCGAAGACAAGUGACCUGGCACCUGACCUCAUCAAAGCUCUGACAGCGUGCCUCUGGAUGCUUAAUGGAAGGGUGACGCAGUAACGAUCGCUGGAGGCCCACACGGCCGGCGACCGGGUCAGCGGCAUUCUUUAAUGCCCCUUAAAACCACUUAACAUGACGACAGUUCCUCUUUAACUUGAGUUGAGCUAUAACAAAAAACUAAUACAACUGUUAACAAUGGAUAUCUUGGUUCUC